ACUUUCAACAACGGAUCUCUUGGUUCUGGCAUCGAUGAAGAACGCAGCGAAAUGCGAUAAGUAGUGUGAAUUGCAGAAUUCAGUGAAUCAUCGAAUCUUUGAACGCACAUUGCGCCCUUUGGUAUUCCAAAGGGCAUGCCUGUUCGAGCGUCA
Molecule: ribosomal RNA, 153 nt
Filed under: Brachymenium longicolle
Lineage: Eukaryota; Viridiplantae; Streptophyta; Bryopsida; Bryales; Bryaceae
Description: 5.8S ribosomal RNA
Rfam family: 5.8S ribosomal RNA
About the family: 5.8S ribosomal RNA (5.8S rRNA) is a component of the large subunit of the eukaryotic ribosome. It is transcribed by RNA polymerase I as part of the 45S precursor that also contains 18S and 28S rRNA. Functionally, it is thought that 5.8S rRNA may be involved in ribosome translocation.
Source: RNAcentral